GAUGCCCACUGGAUCCAAAGAGAGAAACUCUAUGGAAUUAUGAUCUAGGUUUGACUGACUCCUGGCAACAAGCUCUACCUACCAGCCAAUUUGGAUGAGGCAAAAUUAGAAGAAUUCUGGAUUUGAAGUCAAGAGACUUAUAUUUGAAUAUCCACUCUGGAAAAGUCAGAUACAUUCUCUUCUCUCUGACAUUCAGUUUUUUAUUUGUUAAAAGAGGGAAACAAUUCUAGGGCUUUCAUGAUAACAAACAAGAUUAUUGUCUGAAAAAAAAAACUUCGUAAAUAGUAAAGUGAUAUAGAAAUGCAG
Molecule: long non-coding RNA, 306 nt
Filed under: Pongo abelii (Sumatran orangutan)
Lineage: Eukaryota; Metazoa; Chordata; Mammalia; Primates; Hominidae
Description: lincRNA
Source: RNAcentral